UACGUAGGCGGUUAGAUAAGUUGGAUGUGAAAGCCCCGGGCUCAACCUGGGAACUGCAUUCAAAACUGUCUAACUAGAGUGUAUAAGAGGUUAGCGGAAUUCCAGGUGUAGCAGUGAAAUGCGUAGAUAUCUGGAGGAACAUCAGUGGCGAAGGCGGCUGACUGGUAUAACACUGACGCUGAGGUACGAAAGCGUGGGUAGCGAACG
RNAcentral lists this ribosomal RNA (207 nucleotides) under uncultured bacterium. RNAcentral describes it as "partial 16S ribosomal RNA". It matches the Rfam family "Bacterial small subunit ribosomal RNA", at positions 568 to 774 of the family's 1533-position model. The record is from RNAcentral.